RNAcentral lists this long non-coding RNA (204 nucleotides) under Populus tremula. Its description in RNAcentral is "long non-coding RNA (PTRE_LNC001479)". Lineage: Eukaryota; Viridiplantae; Streptophyta; Magnoliopsida; Malpighiales; Salicaceae. The record is from RNAcentral.
UUUGAAUGAAUUGCUUAUUGUUGAAUUGGAAACUGCAGACUCACAAUGAUUUUUUAAAGAAAAUGACUUGCGGGAGGAUUGAAGCUGGUCAAUAAGAUGUGGAUGAAGGGCGGCGAUAAUUAUUCGUUGCUGCCUUGAUGGUGGUGGUCUUAAGAAGCUGUAGAUCAAACAGCCAUAUAUAGGGUACUGUGAAUUCAAGAGGAG